CUGAACUUGGUUUUUCCUCCUCCAACCAGAAUGGCAUGACUCAGGUAUAAAAUCUCCUCUCCUCUCAGAGACUCUGGCGGUCUGGAAAGUAUAAAAAGAAAAAACAAAAUCAGUAAAUUCAAGAGAGAAAUGAAAAGAGCAAGAAAACUGUAGGAAGAGAGGGAAAGAAAAAGGAAAAUACUUGUACACAAAAUUGGAAGGGUGUUUGGAACCCCGCCUCAAUUUCUAACAACUGAAGCUAAGGCUUGUUGGUCUCCACUGGGUUCCUCCACUGGUCUCUCCAACCCAAUUCCCUUGUUCAGGAUCUGUGGGGUUCUUUGCCUGGGAAAGGCACAUUCACAUGGUCUGGUCUAUGGUAGGGCUUUACCUACUGGCGGUGGGUAGGGAAAGGUGGUGGUGGCAGCAGAGAGGGAGGUGAGAAGAGCCCUGGGAGGUGUGGCCAUGUCAGGUGGAGGCCCCUCCCCCACCCAUACGGAGGGGCCCAGCAUCCACCACCCCAGGGGAGCCUCUGGGCUCCAGGCCAUCCUGGGUGACUUAAGCCAGAGUGAUCUUAUUACAGCCAUUAGUGACCAGAAUGAUUUCUUAUGCCAAGAGCAGAAAGAAAUGGAUCCAAAUGAGAAAACCGGGACAGCUUGGGUUCUGCGAGAUGGCUGCGAGCUGGGGAUUGCACCGAUAAUAAAGCCCAUAGCUGCUUCUUUGGCAUCCACUCCAUGUCAGGCAAAGUCGAGCACACAGGUAGGCUCUGAGCUGCAGAGUUUGUAGUUGUGCAGGGCUGGAAGGCACUUAUGGGUAACAAUUAGACUAUAAUGUGCUUAUGGGUUGGCAGAAAAUGGGGAGACAUUCCUGGCGUACGUAAGAAGACUUACUACUCCCACUUCCUUCCCAGCGGUAGGUUUAAGGUAAGUCUCUCCUUUGCUGAUGAUGACCAACCCUGCCCCCAGAAUCCAUCAGGAGUUUGGACGCAUCCACAGCUCCCGGAGAAGAUCCCGCUUGACCUCCCUGUCAGAGGCAAGUGCUUAGUGCAUUUCUGAGGCCAGGUAUACCUGGGUUGGGUCUUAGCUUCUAGACUGGAGCUGGCAUCUUGGCCUCAGAGUUUAUUUCUGCCUUUGCAAAACUGGGACAUUUGCCCAAUAAGGGGUUUGGAAGUGCCGUUCCUAGCCCUGAUGAUCCUCAUCAUGGUGCAUUUGUUUAUUCAUCUUUAGAGAAAAGACGCAGUUUCUUUCUAGAAGCUCUAGAAAUGUGACAAAACUUCCAUCUCCCCUUCCCACGCCGAGGUAUGGUUGCUGGGUUGAUCACCUCCCUCCCCCCACCGAUUACUAGCAGCUCUGCAGAAUUCCAAACCCUGACCUCUGCAUCUCACCAGCGCAAGUUUGAGAACUUGCCCCCAGUGUAUGUUCUCUGACCCUAGUUGUCAAGGUUUGAUUUCUGCAUUCUUGCUGUUGCUCUUCACUUACUUCUAUUACCCCCUCCAGCUGCACUUCAGGGAAGCCCACAUUCUACGGACCCAAAGGAUGGUCCCUCAAACAGGCCAGAACCUGUGCAAAUAUCCAGACCUGUGAUGCCCAUGGAGCACGGCCUCCUACUCACCUGCCUGUGGGCCAGUCCGCACAUGCAUGACUAGGCGUUCUGGGAGUGGGAGGAUGUGAGGACUAGCUGGCCACAGGGACUGAGAGGUAACACCUGCUUGAUCCUUUGCUAGGAUCUGGGACUCUCUCAAUGCACAAUGCUUUCCAGGGAGUCUUGAAGAGCUAGCCGGGCUCCCUUUGCAUUUUCUUUUUUCCACUAAAGAAAGUAAACAUCUUGCAUGUGUUUCCAUAGUGGUUAGGCACUGAUUAUGGGAGACCGCCUUGCAGAAACUUGGCUGUUGUGGCCUGAGGACACUGGGACUGAGUAAAGCACUUGGGACUUUACGUAGGGAAAAAAAAAAAGUUUAGUUUGCACCAUCUGGGUAGGGUGUGGAACAGUUUGGGUGCCAGAAAUGGGGGACACCUGGAUUCCCCAUCGCAAAAAGGGGCGCCUCUAUGUCACCUUGCAGGUGAAAACUGAGGAGGCAACGGAUCAGUGAGACCUGGACUGCUCCUGUCCAACCUGAGCAGCUGCCAUCUGUCAGGACCCCUUCGAGGGCGUGCAUUCAGCCAGCACCGCCGUUCAACGUGGACCCAGAAAAAUCUCUCAAACUCACAGACUUGGAGAGAGAGGAAGGUAGCCAGGCAACAGAACUGCGGAAAACAUCCUCUAGGUCACAUGAACUUUAUUGUAGAUCAGGAAGUUAUCUAACAGCUGCCAAAACUCUUUCUGACUCCAAAUGUUGACUGUUUCUCACACCUCACCAUUGGGUAUGGGGUCUGCUGCCUUGGGGGUUAUUCAGAUUUCCCAUUCCUUCUCAGACUCCAUCUACCCCCACCUGCCUGGUUGCAUUUGGAGAUGAUUUCCUUUUUUCCAUUCAUGAGACCAUGUGGCUUCCAUACUUACCUGGGCUGGCAGUUUCUCUACUCACCCUGCAAAUCUCUUGAGGAGGAAAAGCCCGGUUGAGGAAGGGUCAGAAAAAGGAAGCCAAGCCUGGAAGUGCAAGCAUACAUUAUCAUAUUCUUCUCAGGGUGCCUUUAGUUCAUUCCAGAAAAAAAGUGCAGCACAAUAAGUAAUUUUAAUGGGCGACCUCCCUUUCUUCCACUAAUUCCCAGUCCUGAGCAAGGUUCACGAGCAAGAACCUAGUCUUCUGUGGCCUUGAAUGCCCCAACGGGUCUGGUGGCGAUAUUGAGCACACAGUGGGAGCUGAGACAAUAGAUCCUGGUUGACAAAACGGACGCUUCAAAGGAAAAGGGGCAAUUAUUUGAGAGCAAAUGUAAGCAAAGGCGCGCGCGCACACACACACACGUGCGUGUAUUCUGUGCCUUUUCAAUUAAUUCCAGGCUCAUAUAUGAGACUACCUCGAGGAUCUGCUCCCAUUUCUCAGCCCAGCGCCCCAACACAAGCUGAUUCCUCCUGGAUAACAAGCACCUUGGCGUCAAGGGAGCCCGCUCCAGCUGACAUUUGCAGACAUUUGUUACUUCUGCCUCGUAGUGCUCCUUUCUUCACCCUCGACGGUCCAGAGCUGAGCUCACAAGACUGAGGCAGGCCCAGUCCAGAUGACCAGGAGCAGAGACCUUCCUGGGCCAAAGCACAGAAAGGUCAUCUCAGCGAAUUUACUCGGGGUAAAGAGGAGACUUGG
Molecule: long non-coding RNA, 3208 nt
Filed under: Lynx pardinus (Iberian lynx)
Lineage: Eukaryota; Metazoa; Chordata; Mammalia; Carnivora; Felidae
Source: RNAcentral